AAACUAACAAGGAUUCCCCUAGUAGCGGCGAGCGAAGCGGGAAGAGCUCAAAUUUAUAAUCUGGCGCUUUCAGCGUCCGAGUUGUAAUCUCUAGAAGUGUUUUCCGCGUUGGACCGCACACAAGUCUGUUGGAAUACAGCGGCACAGUGGUGAGACCCCCGUAUACGGUGCGGAUGCCCAAUGCUUUGUGAUACACUUUCGAAGAGUCGAGUUGUUUGGGAAUGCAGCUCAAAUUGGGUGGUAAA
RNAcentral lists this ribosomal RNA (245 nucleotides) under Prasinoderma coloniale. RNAcentral describes it as "partial Eukaryotic large subunit ribosomal RNA". It matches the Rfam family "Eukaryotic large subunit ribosomal RNA", at positions 62 to 303 of the family's 3401-position model. Lineage: Eukaryota; Viridiplantae; Prasinodermophyta; Prasinodermophyceae; Prasinodermales; Prasinodermaceae. The record is from RNAcentral.